CUAAGAAUAUUCCGCAAUGGACGGAAGUCUGACGGAGCGACGCCGCGUGGAUGACGAAGGCCGAAAGGUUGUAAAGUUCUUUUGCUGGGGAAGAAUAACCGCAGGAGGGAAUGCCUGUGGGAUGACAAGAACCGGCGAAUAAGCCCCGGCCAACUACGUGCCAGCAGCCGCGGUAACACGUAGGGGGCGAGCGUUGUUCGGAAUUACUGGGCGUAAAGGGCAUGUAGGCGGCUUGGAAAGCCUGGCGUGAAAGUCUGCAGCUUAACUGCAGGGGUGCGCUGGGAACUGCUGAGCUUGAGUGACGGAGAGGGAGCUGGAAUUCCUGGUGUAGGGGUGAAAUCUGUAGAUAUCAGGAAGAACACCGAUGGCGAAGGCAAGCUCCUGGCCGAUGACUGACGCUGAGGUGCGAAAAGUGUGGGGAUCAAACAGGAUUAGAUACCCUGGUAGUCCACACAGUCAACGAUGUGCACUAGGUGCUGGGGCGGUAGCUUCGGUGCCGGAGCGAACGUGGUAAGUGCACCGCCUGGGGAGUAUGCUCGCAAGGGUGAAACUCAAA
RNAcentral lists this ribosomal RNA (556 nucleotides) under uncultured bacterium. RNAcentral describes it as "partial 16S ribosomal RNA". It matches the Rfam family "Bacterial small subunit ribosomal RNA", at positions 355 to 905 of the family's 1533-position model. The record is from RNAcentral.